This 386-nucleotide ribosomal RNA is filed under the name uncultured bacterium. RNAcentral describes it as "bacterial SSU rRNA". It matches the Rfam family "Bacterial small subunit ribosomal RNA", at positions 30 to 416 of the family's 1533-position model. The record is from RNAcentral.
AUUGAACGCUGGCGGCAUGCCUUACACAUGCAAGUCGAACGGCAGCGGACCUUCGGGUGCCGGCGAGUGGCGAACGGGUGAGUAAUAUAUCGGAACGUACCUUUCAGUGGGGGAUAACGUAGCGAAAGUUACGCUAAUACCGCAUAUUCUGUGAGCAGGAAAGCAGGGGAUCGCAAGACCUUGCGCUGAUUGAGCGGCCGAUAUCAGAUUAGCUAGUUGGUGAGGUAAAGGCUCACCAAGGCGACGAUCUGUAGCGGGUCGUGAGAGGAUGAUCCGCCACACUGGAACUGAGACACGGUCCAGACUCCUACGGGAGGCAGCAGUGGGGAAUUUUGGACAAUGGGCGGCAAGCCUGAUCCAGCCAUGCCGCGUGAGUGAAGAAGGCC